UACGUAGGGCGCGAGCGUUGUCCGGAAUCACUGGGCGUAAAGGGCGCGUAGGCGGCCAUUCAAGUCGGAGGUGAAAGCCCAGGGCUCAACCCUGGAAUUGCCUUCGAUACUGGCUGGCUAGAGUCCGGAAGAGGUAAGUGGAACUGCGAGUGUAGAGGUGAAAUUCGUAGAUAUUCGCAAGAACACCAGUGGCGAAGGCGGCUUACUGGUCCGGUUCUGACGCUGAGGCGCGAAAGCGUGGGGAGCAAACAGG
This 253-nucleotide ribosomal RNA is filed under the name uncultured bacterium. RNAcentral's name for it is "partial 16S ribosomal RNA". It matches the Rfam family "Bacterial small subunit ribosomal RNA", at positions 524 to 776 of the family's 1533-position model. The record is from RNAcentral.